AAAACAUCGCCUCUUGUAACCCAUAAGAGGUCCAGCUUGCCCAGUGACUCUGUUCAACGGCCGCGGUAUCCUAACCGUGCAAAGGUAGCACAAGUAAUUGUCUUUUAAAUGUAGAAGUGAAUGAAAGGCACCACGAGGAUUAAACUGUCUCCUUUCCCUAAUCAAUGAAACUAAUCUUCUCGUGAAAAAGCGAGAAUAACCCCAUAAGACGAAAAGACCCUGUGGAGCUUUAAACAACUUACACCUGCCCACCCCAUCCUUCUACUAAGGCACCCUGAUUUCAAGUUUUUGGUUGGGGCGACCACGGAGCACAAUAUACCCCCCGCGUUGAGCACAACCCAUAAAUAAAAAGCUACAACUUUAUAAAUCAAUAAAUUGACAUAAUUGACCCAAUAUUUUGAUCAACGAACUCAGUUACCCCAGGGAUAACAGCGCCAUCUGCUUCAAGAGCACACAUCGACAAGCAGGCUUACGACCUCGAUGUUGGAUCCGGAUAACCUAGUGGAGUAACUUCUACUAAAGGUUCGUUUGUUCACCGAUUAAAACCCG
Molecule: ribosomal RNA, 549 nt
Filed under: Haddadus aramunha
Lineage: Eukaryota; Metazoa; Chordata; Amphibia; Anura; Craugastoridae
Description: partial 16S ribosomal RNA
Rfam family: Bacterial large subunit ribosomal RNA
Source: RNAcentral